Molecule: ribosomal RNA, 418 nt
Filed under: uncultured bacterium
Lineage: Bacteria
Description: bacterial SSU rRNA
Rfam family: Bacterial small subunit ribosomal RNA
Source: RNAcentral
UAAGGAAUAUUGGUCAAUGGACGCAAGUCUGAACCGGCCAUGCCGCGUGGAGGAUGAAGGUCCUCUGGAUUGUAAACUUCUUUUAUCUGGGACGAAACACUUCUUUUCUAAGAGGCCUGACGGUACCAGAUGAAUAAGCACCGGCUAACUCCGUGCCAGCAGCCGCGGUAAUACGGAGGGUGCAAGCGUUAUCCGGAUUCACUGGGUUUAAAGGGUGCGUAGGUGGGUAUGUAAGUCAGUGGUGAAAUCCCCGAGCUUAACUUGGGAACUGCCAUUGAUACUAUAUAUCUUGAAUACCGUAGAGGUGAGCGGAAUAUGUCAUGUAGCGGUGAAAUGCUUAGAUAUGACAUGGAACACCAAUUGCGAAGGCAGCUUACUAUGCGGUGAUUGACACUGAGGCACGAAAGCGUGGGUAGCA